AUCCUCUUCCAUGAGCUCCAGCUCGACGGUGGUUACUCCGUCCACGGAUUGCUGAUGGCUUCCAAGAAAUCGCUCGCUCCGACUAAUCGGUAAACUCCGACCUUUGCCCAUAUAAAUCUCUUUUUUACCUAAGAAAAGUGUAUACCCGCUUUGAUUUAUGUGUUAAAUUACCGUUAUUGAUCACCUAGUAAUAUAUUUGGAAGUGUAAGAACAAGAGAAAGAUGGAACUCUUGUAUUGUUUUGUGUAAUGAGUGAGGAUCGAGGAAGAGGAUGAGCAUGUGUGUGUGUAUAUAUAUAUAUAUAUCAAAUUGAGUCUGCAUUGCGUGUGUGGUUUUACUCAGUUAUGUUCGGUAAGAUCAAAAGAAGAUGUCAUAGUCCACAUAAAAUAGUCGACACAGUAACCAUUUAGAUAACGGCGCUACUAUUUUGUAUUUCUUUUAGCAUUUUAGACGAGAGCAAGUUAAGAUUUAUUUUUCCCAUUCUAAAAGUAAUUCAAUAAUCAUAUACAAUGUGAUGUCUUAGUUGCCGACGUACCAUCAUGCGUUCUAACAAGAUUUCUAUCGUAGCUUCAAUAUAGAGUUGUGAGACAAAUGAUGAAUAGUUUUAAUAACCAAGGAAUUUUAUAUCAAAAUCUAUAUUUAUCCAAAUAGCUAGUCUGUGAAAUGUGAUCAUAUUCUUGUCAUUUAAAACCCUUUAACAAAUUCACAGUAUUCAAGUAUAAUUAAAAUCACGGUACUAUACCAUUUAUAGAUUUGUGCACGUCCUAGACUCCUAGUAUGUACAAUAAGUCGUUAAGCUUAGCCAAGCAUACGUGAAUUAUAUACUGUAUACGGCAAAUGCUUGAGUUUACAUGAAAAUAAAAUUCGAAAUGAGAAACUAUAGUUUUUGGUAUUUUUGUAAGUAUCCGAACGAGAUGGUGCAGAUUCGACAAAAUUACAUAAACAUAUUAUUGGCUUAUUUCAUUCUCUGUAGCUGAAGGUGGGGUCUAUAUCUCCGCAUGGGAAAGCACACAAGAUAUGUCGCAGUUCAGCUGUUCGACACGUGUUCACUCAUUGCAAGCAGGUCCAUCUAAUUUUGUCUAUUAACGUUGACACGUGAUCUAAUCUGAACCCACCAAUAGGCAGAUUAAGACCGGAGUCGACGAGGGUGUUGUUGGAUUGGAGAGUGAAUGGCUAACGAUGGAGACCGACGAACUAACAAAGUCUACAUAUGUGGUCCAUCAUUGUUCUGUCCUUUCCUUCUUUUUACUUUGCCUCAAUUAUUAGCGUUUUUUAUUAUUUCGUUUUUGUUUAGUUAUUUUUUUCCUGAUCGAAUCGCAUUUUUCGUCGAAACACCAUUUAUAUUAAGUAAUCAGAAAGAGACUCUCCUCUAGGAAAAGCCAUUCAGGAACCGAUGUGCUUACAUGAGGAAAAAAAACUAUUACGUGCCCGAGUUUUUUUUUGCCAAAAAGUCAGUCCGAGCAUUGUUACACCUUGGGAGAAAUCUAAUGUUAAAAUCAGGGAAAAACAUAAAAGAGACCGGAAAGUGGCAAUCUCCGCCACGAAAGUGGGCCACUCCGACUGCUUGUCAAGAAGGGAGAUACGAUUAGCGCAAUCGGAUGCAAAGGCACAUCUUGAUUUUCCAAUCGAGAUCAUUGUUUAGUUCAUUGUUUUGUAUAUAACGGGCUCCCAACCCUACACUAAUUUAACUGUGAAUGUUUAGCAACUUCGAGUCUUCGAC
RNAcentral lists this long non-coding RNA (1719 nucleotides) under Arabidopsis lyrata. Its description in RNAcentral is "long non-coding RNA (ALYR_LNC000859)". Lineage: Eukaryota; Viridiplantae; Streptophyta; Magnoliopsida; Brassicales; Brassicaceae. The record is from RNAcentral.